This 307-nucleotide unclassified non-coding RNA is filed under the name plant metagenome. RNAcentral describes it as "partial contains 5.8S ribosomal RNA, internal transcribed spacer 2, and large subunit ribosomal RNA". The stretch from base 1 to 105 matches the Rfam family "5.8S ribosomal RNA", at positions 50 to 154 of the family's 154-position model. The record is from RNAcentral.
GAAAUGCGAUAAGUAAUGUUAAUUGCAGAAUUCAGUGAAUCAUCGAAUCUUUGAACGCACAUUGCGCCCGCCAGCACUCUGGCGGGCAUGCCUGUUCGAGCGUCAUUUCAACCCUCAGAACCCCUUGCGGGAUCUGGCGUUGGGGAUUGGCAUCCAGUCAGCCCCGAAAUCUAGUGGCGGUCCCUCCGCGACCUCCCCUGUGCAGUAGCGAUACCUCGCAGCGGGACAGCGGUCUGACCACGCCGUAAAACCCCCAACUUCUCAAGGUUGACCUCGAAUCAGGUAGGAAUACCCGCUGAACUUAAGC